GACAAUGUCUGAGCGGCUGGCCGAGAACACGCACGACAUCUAGGCAAAGAAAAUGAAGGAGGAGCUGGACGCUAUCGGUGGUGGCAUACAUGCACAGCUGGUGCCAUAUGACCUGCUCACUGACCGGGAGAAGCACGAAAACCGAGACCGUGCGCAAGAGUUCCUCAAGUUUCUUCAGUAUGAGGGCUACCGUGUUUCAAGGCAAGCCCUGCGUCGCCGUGAACGGGGAGGUGCCCCGAGCGAGGAGCUGCAAGCCCCCAGGCAAGGCCAGG
Molecule: long non-coding RNA, 272 nt
Filed under: Dermacentor andersoni
Lineage: Eukaryota; Metazoa; Arthropoda; Arachnida; Ixodida; Ixodidae
Description: uncharacterized LOC126545820
Source: RNAcentral